This 433-nucleotide ribosomal RNA is filed under the name uncultured soil bacterium. RNAcentral's name for it is "bacterial SSU rRNA". It matches the Rfam family "Bacterial small subunit ribosomal RNA", at positions 26 to 505 of the family's 1533-position model. The record is from RNAcentral.
AGAACGAACGCUGGCGGCAUGCCUAACACAUGCAAGUCGAACGAGACCUUCGGGUCUAGUGGCGCACGGGUGCGUAACGCGUGGGAACCUGCCCUUAGGUUCGGAAUAACAGUUGGAAACGACUGCUAAUACCGGAUAAUGUCUUCGGACCAAAGAUUUAUCGCCUAUGGAUGGGCCCGCGUUGGAUUAGCUAGUUGGUGGGGUAAAGGCCUACCAAGGCGACGAUCCAUAGCUGGUCUGAGAGGAUGAUCAGCCACACUGGGACUGAGACAUGGCCCAGACUCCUACGGGAGGCAGCAGUGGGGAAUAGUUGGACAAUGGGCGAAAGCCUGAUCCAGCAAUGCCGCGUGAGUGAUGAGGCGUUAGGUUGUAAAGCUCUUUACGUGGGAUAGGAUAAGUGACAGACCCAGAGAAGUAGCUCCGACUAACUCCG